AGCCGAAACCGGGCACUCGCCCGGUCCGCCGGAGAUAACCUUCCGGCGCUGAUGAGGCAGGUUCCU
RNAcentral lists this non-coding RNA (66 nucleotides) under Patescibacteria group bacterium. The record is from RNAcentral.